GGGCCCGGCGGGCUUUCCCGGGCCCCGGGAUGAGGAAGGAGGGGGCUCAUUUCUGGGGAGCGGAUCAGGCUGGGGGUGUGGGGGGGAAGAAGCCGGUAUGCAGCCAACCAACUGGGUCCGCGAAGCCGCAGUCGCCGCGGCCCCUUUCCCGGCGCGGCUCACAGUAACUAACGUUCCGAGGCGCCUGACUAAACCCUCAAAAGCAACGGAGUGUCAAAGCUAACACUCGCGCCUAGGGCGGCAGACAAACGCGUCCCAGCGGAGCGGCCGGGCUGGGCGAGCACGCAGCCAAAGCCAAGCGGCGGGGCGCCGGCACAAGUUAGUUUUCCGGCCCGAGCAGCCCUGCCACAGCCCGGGAAGAGGAACCGACCCCACAUCCCCCGGACAGAGCCGCCCGGAGCGACGGGCGGGCGGGCGACGCAGCUCUGGAAAUAUUGCAGUACGUUAUAAUGCUAUCGUAUUCAAAACCGGAACGGUGAUGAUGCUGCGACAGAUCAGUGGAUUGAAGUCAAAGACCCAGAGGCAUAUUCAAGUACAUAUAAAUGUCAUGUCUGUAUACUCUAUGUAUACAAAAACAUAUAUACGUAUGUAUAGGUUUCUGAGCCUUCUGCGUGAACAUCUCUUGUUCCUUAUAUUCCCUUUUUAUUCCCUUUUCUACAUAUAUAUAUUUUAAAAUCAUAGUGCUAUAGCAAAGCCUUCAAAAAGGCUCCCAAUGUUCCCCACCUCCCAGUUCACACCCUGGGCUCUUGGAUCACUUGCUCUGGGGAAGGGGGCUGUAGCAGGAGAAGAUGCUGCGAGCAGCCUCUGGAGAAGCCCAUGUGACUAGGAACCAAGAACCCCAGCUGACAGCCAGCAAGUCAGUGAGGGCUGCCAAGGAACAUGUGAGUGAGCAAAGAAGUGGAUCUUCCCGCAGCUGAGCCUUCAGAGGACCGCAGUUCAAGCGACAGCUGACCCAGAACCGCUCAACUCUGCCACUCCCAGAGUCCUAAUUCUCAGAAACCCUGUGAGAUAAUAAGUGUUUGUUGGUUUAAGCUGCUCUGCUAAGUGUUGGGAUAUCUCAAUGUAUGAAGAUGUCCCCUAAGAGAGGACACCAGCUAGAUAUUGCUGACCUUCUGCUUGCCUGACUGCAGUGUAAAUACCUGGGAAGGGCCAGAUUAAAUGGUCACUGAUGUGUGAGAAUUUUCUAGGUGAAAGAAAUGAAGAAAGAAGAGUAAUAAUAUCUUGGAAGUCUUUCUAUACUAUUUGGAGAAAAAUAGUACAGCUGACCCUUGAACAACACGGGUUUGAACUGUGUGGGUCUACUUACACAUGGAUGUAGAGAGCAAGAUGGAGUCACUCGUGUCAAGCCAUGUCUUAUGUCAAGCAGCCAAGGGUGGUGCAGCUAAGACCAGAGAGCACCAAAACCAGCACAGUCUGAUGACACCCAGAACUGAUAACGAGUAGAACCAGAGCAGAUUUGCAAAGGUCCAAGCCUGAUUAAACUCCUGUAUAGAAGGAGGAUUUUUGCAGCAAAUUCUCAGACUCUCCUGACACUGACCCUUUCAGAUUUGACCACAUCAAAAAGGCAACUGCCGCGGAAGGCUCUACCCAACUGAUCUCUGAACAUGACAGAGAUUCUCCACUGUUUGAACAUAAUUAGCAGCAUGUGGCAAGAGCUGACCCUGACCUGACGGAGGCCUCCUCUUAACUGCAUGCUCAUGAACGGACUUCGAGUUGCGUUCGUUAGCUUCUUACUCCUUGUUGUAUCUUGUUUGUUGUGUGACUUUAUAUGGUCCUUUGCUUUGUGUGACACGUAUGAAGCCAAGUUACGUGAGGAGUGACAUGUCAUUGAAUUUGGAAUCCUGAAGCUGCUUUGCAAUUACGUUAACCUUGCUGUACGAUUGAAUAAAGCUGACACUAUGGAAAGACACAACUUGUGUGUGUGCCUUCAUAGUGUGCUCACACUAGGACUGCUUCUGCACAUUCCGGAAGAGGGUGAGGCCGCCAUUCUGGUUUUGCUUCUUCAAGAGGUGCUGGGUGCUCUGUGAUUCUCUUCCAGCAACUUGUGAGGAAGUGACUCAUGCCCUCUAGAGCCACAUCGUCCCAUUGGAAAUAGAAGCCCAGAGAGAGGUACAUACAAGAGGCCUGCCAAUGCAUGUUGACCAGAUGGAAUAAUUCUGACACACGGUUCAUUGGCAGUAAAGAGCUAACCUCGAAAAACAGUGUUGGCUGGCCCUGGUGGCAGAAGAUGGCUGAGAAGAGGGUUUGGAAGGUUAUAAGUGGAAAAGAGACUGGAAGGUGAUUGGAGGCUGGAAGAAGGGAUGUUCCCGGGUCUGUCCAUCCAGACACUGUUAAAGCAAGAGACAGACCUGUGGGACCUCCAGGCUCGUUGCCUGUGUGUGAACUUUUUACACUGCAGUGCUGUAAAUGUAUUUUCUCUUCCUUAUGAUUUUCUUAACAUUUUUUUCUCAGCAUUUUUUCUCUAGCUUACUUUAUUGUAAGAAUUUGUAUAUAAUAUAUAUAUAACAUCUAAAAUCUGUGUUAAUUAACUGUAA
Zalophus californianus (California sea lion) is the source of this 2534-nucleotide long non-coding RNA. RefSeq lists it as uncharacterized. NCBI's taxonomy places the organism in Eukaryota, Metazoa, Chordata, Mammalia, Carnivora, Otariidae. The record is from RefSeq and is a predicted model, not a curated record. The transcript is spliced from 3 exons.